GUCUUCUCCCCCAACCCCCAUCUUCUUCUUCCUUGGGAUUUGUUGAAAAAAUGGGAUUGACUUGUAGAAUUUCCUUCGUUGCAGGCUUCUUCGGAGAACACCCAUAGUGAUUCACAAAGCAAAGCCAAAUCUUGGGUACUUGGCUGUGCCUCAGCUGACAUCCAGGCUUCAUCACAUCUAAGUAGCCCCAUAGGUCUCAAGGAGGAGUAGAUGAGAAUACUGAGAGCCUUCAGUUUGGGACAUACUAGCAGGAGGAGAGAUUGAGAGGAUAACACCUGGAUAUGUUCAGAGACAGAUAACCAGGCAAGAUCAACAUCCACUCAGCUCUCAUCAUGAGAAUAAAGAAAACUUGAAAUUGUUCA
This 362-nucleotide long non-coding RNA is filed under the name Vulpes vulpes (red fox). RNAcentral describes it as "lncRNA (ENSVVUG00000015041.1)". Lineage: Eukaryota; Metazoa; Chordata; Mammalia; Carnivora; Canidae. The record is from RNAcentral.